This 679-nucleotide ribosomal RNA is filed under the name Streptococcus australis. Its description in RNAcentral is "bacterial SSU rRNA". It matches the Rfam family "Bacterial small subunit ribosomal RNA", at positions 96 to 763 of the family's 1533-position model. The record is from RNAcentral. Lineage: Bacteria; Bacillati; Bacillota; Bacilli; Lactobacillales; Streptococcaceae.
UUGCGAACGGGUGAGUAACGCGUAGGUAACCUGCCUGGUAGCGGGGGAUAACUAUUGGAAACGAUAGCUAAUACCGCAUAACAGCAGAUGUUGCAUGAUAUCUGCUUGAAAGGGGCAAUUGCUCCACUACCAGAUGGACCUGCGUUGUAUUAGCUAGUUGGUGAGGUAACGGCUCACCAAGGCGACGAUACAUAGCCGACCUGAGAGGGUGAUCGGCCACACUGGGACUGAGACACGGCCCAGACUCCUACGGGAGGCAGCAGUAGGGAAUCUUCGGCAAUGGGGGGAACCCUGACCGAGCAACGCCGCGUGAGUGAAGAAGGUUUUCGGAUCGUAAAGCUCUGUUGUAAGAGAAGAACGAGUGUGAGAGUGGAAAGUUCACACUGUGACGGUAUCUUACCAGAAAGGGACGGCUAACUACGUGCCAGCAGCCGCGGUAAUACGUAGGUCCCGAGCGUUAUCCGGAUUUAUUGGGCGUAAAGCGAGCGCAGGCGGUUAGAUAAGUCUGAAGUUAAAGGCUGUGGCUUAACCAUAGUACGCUUUGGAAACUGUUUAACUUGAGUGCAGAAGGGGAGAGUGGAAUUCCAUGUGUAGCGGUGAAAUGCGUAGAUAUAUGGAGGAACACCGGUGGCGAAAGCGGCUCUCUGGUCUGUAACUGACGCUGAGGCUCGAAAGCGUG